CACGUAGGGGCCAAGCGUUGUCCGGAUUUAUUGGGCGUAAAGAGCUCGUAGGCGGUUCGACAAGUCGGGUGUGAAAACUCCGGGCUCAACCCGGAGACGCCACCCGAUACUGUCGUGACUGGAGUCCGGUAGGGGAGUGGGGAAUUCCUGGUGUAGCGGUGAAAUGCGCAGAUAUCAGGAGGAACACCGGUGGCGAAGGCGCCACUCUGGGCAUUAACUGACGCUGAGGAGCGAAAGCAUGGGGAGCGAACAGG
This 254-nucleotide ribosomal RNA is filed under the name uncultured bacterium. Its description in RNAcentral is "partial 16S ribosomal RNA". It matches the Rfam family "Bacterial small subunit ribosomal RNA", at positions 524 to 776 of the family's 1533-position model. The record is from RNAcentral.